Molecule: long non-coding RNA, 376 nt
Organism: Trachemys scripta elegans
Lineage: Eukaryota; Metazoa; Chordata; Testudines; Emydidae
Exons: 4
Source: RefSeq, a predicted model, not a curated record
GCUCUGCAGCCACAGGAAGAACUGGCUCCCGCGAAACGACUAAGUGGAUGUCAGCAGCAAAGCAGCCUCUCCUCGCUCUCGAUGCAGCAUGAGAUUGGAUCUUCUUCUUCCUGGAAGUCUAGAUAAGUCACAUACUGUCAGUUCGUGUUCCAGGACAUGUCAUGCCAUAUAUUAUCCUGAUGACCUUAGAACCACCACAGAAUGCCGACAGGGCCAGAGAAGCAGUAUUUUCUAGAAGAAGUAGUUUCAGAAGUAACUUUAAAAACAAGGGAAGGAGACCCUGGAAGAAUUCUACCAUGAUUUCAACAGCUUCCACCCCACCAUCAACCUCAGCCUGGACCAAUCUACAUGGGAGGUCCACUUCCUAGAAACCACA